GUUUUGUUAGUUUAAGAAAACAAUCAAUCUUGUAAAUUGAGAAAAUAAGGUUUAAAUCCUUAACAAAACU
This 70-nucleotide transfer RNA is filed under the name Comanthus sp. 2 MS-2014. RNAcentral describes it as "tRNA-Thr". It matches the Rfam family "tRNA". From Rfam's summary of the family: Transfer RNA (tRNA) molecules are approximately 80 nucleotides in length. Lineage: Eukaryota; Metazoa; Echinodermata; Crinoidea; Comatulida; Comatulidae. The record is from RNAcentral.